CUUAAACCGCAGCCCUGCAGCGCAGAGGGCUUUGAUGAUGGUGCCAGCAGCCGGCGAUGGGGGCGGCGCGGGAGAGCGGCCUGGAGGGGCCGGCCUAGCUGGGGUCCGUGGCCGUAUGUCUUCUGGCUGCGACGCCGGUCCUGCGCACGCAGCGGGGCCGCAGUUGCUGGGCGGUGGGUGCCCGAGGGGCCGGGAGGCGAGCUGGGGCCCCCAGGCGAGUGUCAGCAUCGUGUCCGCAGCCAGCGUCCCCGAGGCCGCGCUCGGGCCAUGAUCACUCGGUGAAGCUGCGCCGGGACAGCGCGGCCGACUUCUCGCACUGUGAGGACGUGUUUGCGCUGCAGGACUUGGUGCCUCUGCCCGCUGUGCGCGCUUUCCUGUGGGAGGGCCUGCUGGACUUAACGCCAACCGCCUCUGCCGGGUGGACUGGGCGCCGCUCCUGAGCACCCUCUACCCCUGAUCUGUAUCCAGAGCUUCUUCCAGCCGCAGCUUGGCAAGACAGGUUCUGACAGAAAUAAAGUUUUCAGAAGUCGUGUUCCUGAGAUAAGAAAUAAAGAUGUGACCUUCCACUUGUGUAAAGCUCUUAAUUGCUGUGUAAGUGCGUCGGGUGCGCUAAGGAACCUGGAGCUAAAUGGGCUAGUUCUGAGAGAGAGAGGCUUAACUAUGUUAACAAAGUUAUUUGUCAAGGUAUAAGGAACUCUAUCAAUCUUAAGACAGUAGACUUCAUGGGCUGUAAUUUGAAAUGGCAGGGAGCAGAUCACAUGUUCAAGAUCUUAAAGUAUCAGACUACCAGAAGGCAUGAAGAAACCUGGGCUGAGAGUCUUCAUUCCAGGAGACCUGAUCUUGACUGUAUGGCUGGUUUGAGGCGCAUCACUCUGAAUUGCAGCACGCUCAUUGGUGACCUGGGUGCAAGUGCUUUGGCAGAAUCUCUUAGUGAAGAUUUAUGGCUUACAGCACUUGACCUGCAGCAGUGUGGCCUCAGCAGUGAAGGAGCAAAGGCUUUACUAAAGGCCCUUGAAACCAACAGAACUCUGGUCAUUCUGGAUAUAAGAAAAAAUCCACUUGUUGAGGUGAACCUAGAUACUAAACCUGCUUCCACCAAGAGCAUUAUUUCCUUCUCGUUCAACCUGUGACUUCUUGCAAGGAGUACUUUAUUCAUUUGUCAGUUUCACAGGUAAUUUUUUUAAUACCUUCUGUGUGCCAGAUACCGCUCAGGCAGUAGGGAUAAAGCAGUGAACCAGACAGGCAAAAGUCUUGCCCUCAUGGAGCUUACAUUCUAGUGAAGGAGUUCAGAUAGAAAUGAGUAAACAGAUAAGUAAUAUAAUUUUAGAUAGUAGGAAGUGCAAAGAUAUCUUAAUGUAAGGAGAGUGGUGGGGGAGCAGGUAGGACUCCAUUGGAUAGGUUUGUUAGCGGACAGCUUCACUGGAGAAGUGGCAUUUGAACGGAGACCUGAAUGAAGAGAGGAGCAAGCCAUGGAAGAUCUGGAGUAAGCACAUUCCAGGACAAGGAGGCAAUGCGUAUGCAGGCAUGUAGGUGGGUGGAGUAUUUAAGGAAAAGCAAGGAGGCCAACGUGGCCAGAGUACUGAGUGAAGAAGAGUGUGGUAUGACAUGAGUUCAAGGAGCUAGCCAGGGGUCUGAUCUUUUAAAGUCUUGAAGGCCAGAGUAAAGAUGUGGAUUAUUCUAAAUGAGUAGAGGGUUUUGAACUGGAAAAAGGCAUGAUCCAAAUAGUAUCUGAAUAAGAUGACCUGGUAUAGAGAAUAGACUCGGGGUGGAGGGGGGAUAAAGAAGAGAAACAGGGAGACCAGUUAGGAGACUGUCACAGUGGUCCAAAUAAGAGAUGUUUAUGGCUUAGCUUAGGUUGGAAGUUUGGAGCAAGUGAAAAGUAUUUGAAUUCAGGUUGUGUUUUGAGGGUGUAGCUAACAAGAAUUGUAGAUAGAUUAGAUGUGAGGUAUGAAGGAAAUAGUAACAAGGAGACAAGUUGUUGAUGAUUAUGUGUGCAACUGGGUAGUAUCACUUAGAAGAAGGGGGCUUAUGGGAGGAGCAGCUUUUGAGGGAAUAUCAGGACUUUGGUUUGAUAUCUUAGAUGCCCUUUAGGUAUCUAAGUGUCUGGACAGUGCUCAGACUGUACUUUCUAUCCAGAGGUAUCCAAAGCCACUUUAGAUGCAAAAUGUUUAAAGUUGACCUUUGCUGCUGCCAAAAUAGUAGCCACUGGGGGCAGUCUGCAAGAUGGCAUCAUAGGUUUCUGAGGAAGAAAUUAGAAUACACAAAGGGGGAAAUAAGUGUAUAAUUACAUAAUGAAGAUUUCAUGUUUAAUUUUAUGGGAAAAGCAAUAAUUAGUUGGCUUUUGGUUUUAAAUGGAAAUAGCCACUCAUUGGGAAAUAAUUACUCUAAUUUCAAUUUAUUUUACUUUAGAUCAUUCUGUGAUGAAAGCAGUUAUCAAAAAAGGUCUCCAGAAUGGAAGGAGUGCCAAGUCAGAGGUAUAUAACGUGUUUUUGUUCUCUCAGAAGAAUUUCUCUUCAAUGGCUUGUUUUUCUUUCUUUCUUAAAGAAAAUUAUCAAGGUACUUUCUGCCAUCUUAAA
Balaenoptera musculus (blue whale) is the source of this 2576-nucleotide long non-coding RNA. RefSeq lists it as uncharacterized. Lineage: Eukaryota; Metazoa; Chordata; Mammalia; Artiodactyla; Balaenopteridae. The transcript is spliced from 6 exons. The record is from RefSeq and is a predicted model, not a curated record.